RNAcentral lists this ribosomal RNA (424 nucleotides) under uncultured bacterium. RNAcentral describes it as "bacterial SSU rRNA". It matches the Rfam family "Bacterial small subunit ribosomal RNA", at positions 29 to 501 of the family's 1533-position model. The record is from RNAcentral.
AACGAACGCUGGCGGCAGGCCUAACACAUGCAAGUCGAGCGAUUACUUCGGGAAGAGCGGCGGACGGGUUAGUAACGCGUGGGAACGUGCCCUUCACUACGGAAUAGUCCCGGGAAACUGGGUUUAAUACCGUAUACGCCCUUCGGGGGAAAGAAUUUCGGUGAAGGAUCGGCCCGCGUUGGAUUAGGUAGUUGGUGGGGUAACGGCCUACCAAGCCUACGAUCCAUAGCUGGUUUGAGAGGAUGAUCAGCAACACUGGGACUGAGACACGGCCCAGACUCCUACGGGAGGCAGCAGUGGGGAAUCUUAGACAAUGGGGGAAACCCUGAUCUAGCCAUGCCGCGUGAGUGACGAAGGCCCUAGGGUCGUAAAGCUCUUUCACCAGGGAAGAUAAUGACGGUACCUGGAGAAGAAACCCGGUAAC